RNAcentral lists this ribosomal RNA (253 nucleotides) under uncultured bacterium. RNAcentral describes it as "partial 16S ribosomal RNA". It matches the Rfam family "Bacterial small subunit ribosomal RNA", at positions 524 to 776 of the family's 1533-position model. The record is from RNAcentral.
CACGUAGGGCGCAAGCGUUGUCCGGAAUUAUUGGGCGUAAAGAGCUCGUAGGCGGUCUGUCGCGUCUGCUGUGAAAAUCCGGGGCUCAACCCCGGACUUGCAGUGGGUACGGGCAGACUAGAGUGUGGUAGGGGAGACUGGAAUUCCUGGUGUAGCGGUGAAAUGCGCAGAUAUCAGGAGGAACACCGAUGGCGAAGGCAGGUCUCUGGGCCACUACUGACGCUGAGAAGCGAAAGCAUGGGGAGCGAACAGG